This 367-nucleotide RNase P RNA is filed under the name Flammeovirgaceae bacterium. RNAcentral's name for it is "RNase P RNA component class A". It matches the Rfam family "Bacterial RNase P class A". From Rfam's summary of the family: Ribonuclease P (RNase P) is a ubiquitous endoribonuclease, found in archaea, bacteria and eukarya as well as chloroplasts and mitochondria. Lineage: Bacteria; Pseudomonadati; Bacteroidota; Cytophagia; Cytophagales; Flammeovirgaceae. The record is from RNAcentral.
AAUGCAAGCUGUCUUAUCGCUCCGAUUUAUCGGGGAGGAAAGUCCGGACAACGCAGAGCAUCGUACUUCUUAACGGGAAGGUAUCCCGACUUGUCGGGGUAACAGAUAGUGCCACAGAAAAUAAACUACCCCGAUUUGUCGGGGAAAGGUGAAAAGGUGGAGUAAGAGCCCACCGCUUUGAUGGUGACAUCAAAGGCCAGGCAAACCUUACGAGUUGAAAGAUCAAAUAGGUCACGGGUUGCUCGCUGAUGCUUAGGCAUACGUGAUGGGUAGGUCGCUAGAUUCUUACGGUAACGUAAGGACCAGAUAAAUGAUAAGGACCCCACUUGUUGGGGAACAGAAUCCGGCUUACAGGCUUGCAUUUUUU